GCUAGCGUGGCAGAGCCCGGUCAAAUGCAAAAGGCUUAAGCCCUUUACCCAGAGGUUCAAGUCCUCUCCCUAGCU
This 75-nucleotide transfer RNA is filed under the name Daption capense. RNAcentral describes it as "tRNA-Leu". It matches the Rfam family "tRNA". From Rfam's summary of the family: Transfer RNA (tRNA) molecules are approximately 80 nucleotides in length. Their secondary structure includes four short double-helical elements and three loops (D, anti-codon, and T loops). Lineage: Eukaryota; Metazoa; Chordata; Aves; Procellariiformes; Procellariidae. The record is from RNAcentral.